This 496-nucleotide ribosomal RNA is filed under the name uncultured bacterium. RNAcentral describes it as "bacterial SSU rRNA". It matches the Rfam family "Bacterial small subunit ribosomal RNA", at positions 30 to 524 of the family's 1533-position model. The record is from RNAcentral.
AUUGAACGCUGGCGGUAUGCUUAACACAUGCAAGUCGAACGGUAACAGGCCUUCGGGCGCUGACGAGUGGCGGACGGUGAGUAACGCGUAGGAAUCUGCCUCAUAGUGGGGGACAACGUGGGGAAACUCACGCUAAUACCGCAUACGCCUACGGGGAAAGCGGGGAGUCUUCGGACCUCGCGCUAUGAGAUGAGCCUGCGUUAGAUUAGCUAGUUGGUAGGGUAAAGGCCUACCAAGGCGACGAUCUAUAGCUGGUCUGAGAGGACGAUCAGCCACACUGGGACUGAGACACGGCCCAGACUCCUACGGGAGGCAGCAGUGGGGAAUAUUGGACAAUGGGCGCAAGCCUGAUCCAGCAAUACCGCGUGUGUGAAGAAGGCCUUAGGGUUGUAAAGCGCUUUCAAUUGGGUAGGAAAACCUGCCGGUCAAUACCCGGUAGCUUGACAUUACCUUUAGAAGAAGCACCGGCUAACUCCGUGCCAGCAGCCGCGGUAAU